GUGCAGCAGGCGCGAAACCUCCUCAAUGCACUCACGUGCGAAGGGGUUACCUCGAGUGCCGCCUGAAGAAGGCGGCUUUUCCAUGGUCUAAAAAGCCUAGGGAAUAAGAGGGGGGCAAGACUGGUGUCAGCCGCCGCGGUAACACCAGCCCCUCGAGUGGUGGGGAUGAUUAUUUGGCCUAAAGCGUCCGUAGCCGGCCGGGUAAGUCUCCCGUUAAAUCCAGCGUCUCAAGCGUUGGACUGCGGGAGAUACUGUCUGGCUAGAGAGUGGGAGAGGUGUACGGUAUUCGUGGGGGUAGGGGCGAAAUCCUUUGAUCCCCGGAGGACCACCAGUGGCGAAGGCUGUACACUAGAACACGUCUGACGGUCAGGGACGAAAGCUGGGGUAGCGAACCGGAUUAGAUA
This 404-nucleotide ribosomal RNA is filed under the name uncultured microorganism. Its description in RNAcentral is "bacterial SSU rRNA". It matches the Rfam family "Archaeal small subunit ribosomal RNA", at positions 330 to 735 of the family's 1478-position model. The record is from RNAcentral.